RNAcentral lists this ribosomal RNA (1238 nucleotides) under metagenomes. RNAcentral's name for it is "bacterial LSU rRNA". It matches the Rfam family "Bacterial large subunit ribosomal RNA", at positions 1700 to 2925 of the family's 2925-position model. The record is from RNAcentral.
UCAGGAGAAGGAACUCGGCAAAUUGACACCGUAACUUCGGAAGAAGGUGUGCCUUGAUAACGUGAAGUCCCUCGCGGAUGGAGCGGUAAGAGGUUGCAGAGAAUCGGUGGCUGCGACUGUUUAACAAAAACACAGCACUCUGCUAAGACGAUGAGUCGACGUAUAGGGUGUGACGCCUGCCCGGUGCCGGAAGGUUAAAUGAUGGGGUGCAAGCUCUUGAUUGAAGCCCCGGUAAACGGCGGCCGUAACUAUAACGGUCCUAAGGUAGCGAAAUUCCUUGUCGGGUAAGUUCCGACCUGCACGAAUGGCGUAACGAUGGCCACACUGUCUCCUCCUGAGACUCAGCGAAGUUGAAAUGUUUGUGAAGAUGCAAUCUCCCCGCGGCUAGACGGAAAGACCCCAUGCACCUUUACUGUAGCUUUACAUUGGACUGUGACACGGUCUGUGUAGGAUAGCUGGGAGCCUUUGAAGUGCGGACGCUAGUUCGCAUGGAGGCGACGUUGAAAUACCAGCCUGAUAGUGUUGCGGUUCUAACCUUGGUCCCUUAUCGGGAUCGGGGACCGUGUAUGGCAGGCAGUUUGACUGGGGCGGUCUCCUCCCAAAGAGUAACGGAGGAGUGCGAAGGUACGCUAGGUACGGUCGGACAUCGUACUGAUAGUGCAAUGGCAUAAGCGUGCUUGACUGCGAGACUGACAAGUCGAGCAGGUGCGAAAGCAGGUCAUAGUGAUCCGGUGGUUCUGAAUGGAAGGGCCAUCGCUCAACGGAUAAAAGGUACGCUGGGGAUAACAGGCUGAUUCCUCCCAAGAGUUCAUAUCGACGGGGGAGUUUGGCACCUCGAUGUCGGCUCAUCACAUCCUGGGGCUGUAGCCGGUCCCAAGGGUAUGGCUGUUCGCCAUUUAAAGUGGUACGUGAGCUGGGUUCAAAACGUCGUGAGACAGUUUGGUCCCUAUCUGCCGUGGGCGUUGGAAAUUUGACGGGGGCUGCUCCUAGUACGAGAGGACCGGAGUGGACGUACCGCUGGUGUACCUGUUGUCUCGCCAGAGGCAUUGCAGGGUAGCUAUGUACGGAAGAGAUAACCGCUGAAAGCAUCUAAGCGGGAAACUCGCCUGAAGAUAAGAUUUCCCGGGGGUUUAACCCCCUUGAAGGGUCGUUCGAGACCAGGACGUUGAUAGGUCGGGUGUGGAAGCGUGGUAACACGUUAAGCUAACCGAUACUAAUUGCCCGUAAGGCUUGACUCU